GCCCCCUCCCCCCGCCCCAGGCGGGCUCGGCGGGGCGCCGGGGGUCCCCGCUGCGCUUGACAGGCGGCCCCGGGCGCCCGGCGCUCGGGCGGAAACGGCAAAGUUCCCUCGGCGGCACCCACGCAGCCCGGGUCCCCGAGGGGCGCCGGGGUGUGCGUUUCUCUUUCGGAAGAGGAGGAAAGUUCGAGGGGAAGGGGGCGCGGGGCACGUCGGGCCCCCUUUGUGCGGCCAGGAAAGGCGUUGCGCCGGCCGCGUCCGAGGCGCGCCCCCACCCCCGGAAAGGGAAGUUUGAGAAGUUGCUCGGGCAUCCGAAGGAGGCAGGGGAGCCGCGCGGCCCGGAGCCGAGGCCGCCGAGCAGGCAGAGCAGCUGGCGCACCUGGGGUCGCCGCGGCCCGGGCCGAAGCCGCGCGCCCACCCGGGUCUGGCCGAGCCACCCCCUUCAGUGGCCAGCGAGUCCAGCCUUCGCUCGGGGGAGGCGCCGCACGUCGCCCCAGGCCGGCUUCUCGGCCCGCAGUCGCUGUCUGCAAGUUCCAAGGAAAGAAACAAUUUCCCGAGGAAAGCUCUCUGGCCCCGCUGAUGGCUGGGCGUGGACGGGGAGGGGAGCAGGGAUGGUCAGGUGGAAGGCGGAGAAUUACGAACUCAGUGCCUACUAGGUGCUGGGUGCUGGAGAUGGGGCCUGGAGCGAGACUGCCCUGCCUUCCCUGAGUUGAUGGGUUCUGGAAAUGUUCGAUUCCUGACCGUCCGUACGCUUCCUAGAGGUUUCUGAAGGUGAAAAAUGCAGGAAUUGAGUUCUUACUGACUUGCUGCGGAAAGUGCGGAACCCCUGGGACCUUAAAAGUUAAAGUUUUUGCAGCUGUGAUUCCGACAACUGAGUGUCUGCAGCUGGGGUCAAAGUGAACUGAGUAUUUGGACCUUUCGAGGCCUCAGUUCCUUCAUCUGUAAAAUGGUUACAUUGGGAUAGUUUUACAUCCCUUUCAUUGGUAGCGCUUGUCGCUGCCUUUCCCCUUCGGUGAUUUGGAGAUGCCUUGUGUAGGUAGAUUUGGGACGAAGUGUAGAGGAUCUGACAGGCCACAUCACCUCCAGGUACUUGCUUGUUUUUCCCAAGGGGCCACAGGCAGACUUGACCUUUAUGUUUGUCCAGAAGAGAGAAGCACCGGGUUCUACAUGGUACCUUUCAGAGGAUUUGAAGUGAGUUGAGAACUUUUUAAAAUGAUGCCUCAUAGGGAACGUGGCAUGGAGAUGGGAGUUUUCAGUGGAAUAAGGCAGAAGAACUGUUGUAAACAUAACGUCCUAACGCGCAUUUGAGUUUAAUAAGAUCCUAGUAUUUCAUUCUUGGAUGUUUUCCGACGUUGCAGCGCCACAAUGUUCAACUGUCUCUGAUUAUAUUCCAGACACUUAAAAACUGAACUAUAUUUUGCUAGUAAAGCUUUGAAACAGCACCCUUCAUUUUCCAAGUACGUUAAAAGUCAUUAAAACUCUUCGUUUCAGAUUACGAAAGAAGGAAAUCAGCAGGCCCUGAUUUGGUUAGGUUUUGUUUACGAGGAUAAGAUUUAUGAAUUUUCAAAUUCCAGACUCAGUAGUUCAUGAGUCCGUUUCAUUUCAUCUGUAUACACAUUUUUAAACAAAUAGCUUAAGAGCCUAGUGGCUUUUCAUUCGGGCUUGUGAACAGUUUUGCAAAACCCACAGGUUUCAUAUUUUGAUGGAAUUAAAGUUUCCGAAUUUGAACUAAGGAAUCACUUUGAAUUUGGAUUCAUUUGAAAUUAAAUUUUCAAGGAUAGUUGAAGGUUGAAGGUAGCUAUAAUGAAAACAAGAAACCUACCUUCCACUUGCAUUUUAAUUUUCCAUGUGAGUAAACGGUUUCAGGAUUUUUCUAAAGUAACUGGUAAACUGUCCAGGCUUUUUCAGAGCAUCUUAAUGUGUGAUAAGAUGGGAGGAAAUGAGAUUGUUUACCGUGUCUUGUUAGGUCAUCUAAGUAAGUCCCAUCUUCUGUUUGGCAGACUGAUAAGUGGGCAGAGGAUUUCAGCAUAAGAACGAACUUCUCGAAGAAAUGUUCUUAAAUCCUGUUUUGUUUGUUUGUUUGUUUCGUAGACCCACUCUUCCCGAAUGCCCCAAAUUAAGUAAUUACUCUUUAGGGGAAAAUCUUAAAUGUCAAAAAACUCUUCAGAUCUGAAAAAUGCCGCUUGUACUUUUCAAAUCCCUAACAAGAGAUUUCUGUGGCGGUCUCAGUGUUGGUAAAAGUGUCACACAGAUAAACUUCUUUCCUAAAAUCAUGUUAUGUACUUACUUUGUCAAGGUCAGAGACUAGAGAUUGCUAGGCCCGGAAUUUGAUCUUUGGUCCUAUUGCUUUUCAGAAAACACAUUUAUACCCCUAGGCCACUUCCUUUAAUAACAGCUUACUUUUCACCCGUUAUGGUUUAUACAAAAAACUCAUCAUAGUUUGGAUUUAUUGCCUUUUAUCAAGGUAGCACCCCAUGGUGAUGAGUCCUCAUUACAGUCUGUGUAGCUAUCAUAACUGCUACAAGGUUUCAAUUUUAUUUUUUUAAAUGUUUCUUUAUUCUUGAGAGAGAGAGAGAGAGAGAGAGAGAGAGAGAGGAAGGGACAGAGAGAGAGAGAGGGAGACACAGAAUCCGAAGCAGGCUCCAGGAUCCGAGCUGUCAGCACAGAGCCAGACGUGGGGCUUGAACCCAGGAACCACAAAAUCAUGACCUGAGCUGAAAGUCAGACGCUUAACUGACUGAGCCACCCAGGUGCCGCACAUGGUUUCCAUUUUAAUUUACCAAUCCUUUGUUAUCAAUGCUACUUUAAAAUUUUUUCUUUAUUUUUUUUUAACCCGAAGUUUCCAAUUAAGAAAGCUACCUCAUUGGUGCCAUUGUAAAAAGUGGCCAGUACUCAUUCUGUCUUCUCAGUAUUUAUGGAGUAUGUUCUUGUGCCAGGCUCAGACCUGAAGACACUGUCCUGAAUGAAUAAGAUGAGACUUGGUCUUUGCUCUCAUUGAGUUUAACGUUUGGGAGGGUGUGAAAGGCCUCGUGCAAGGACUUUGAAAGGCCUCCAUAAACAAGGGCACAUAGUUUAACCCUGUGCACUUGGAGGCGUUAAUGAACCCUGGUGGUUUAUUUCCUAGACCCCUCUUUCAAAAGCCCAUUUGCUUGUUGAAUGCUCUUAUAGGAGUGCCUGUUGAAUGUUUGUUUUUCUCCGUCCCUCUGAACAUCUUUUCUUUCCAUUGGUCUGUCCUUUUCUAUACCUGCCAUGUUGUAGGUCCCCACUUGGGCCACCCUGGUUCCCCACUCUGUAGCCAUUGUGGUAGACCCAAUGUGCCCAUCCAGUCUUUCUUUUGAGGAUAGGCUUAGAGAUACCAGCUUUGGAAUCGAGGCCUCCUGGGUUCCAGAACCACCUCCUGCUUACUGGCUAUGGGGAUUAUGGAGCCAUGGUAAAGAUUAAAUGAAAUAAAGCUUUGAAGUGCUUAACACAGUGCCCACAGCAUAAUAAAUGCUCAAUAAAUAGCAGCUUUCAUUAUUAUUAAGUCCUCAAUCAGGCCUCACAAGAUGCUCCAUGAUCUGGUUGUCCUUUGAUUCUGAGACUUUGCAUCCCACCAAGUGUCACAUUUUCCCAAUGUACCCCUGUCAUCCUGUAUACACACGCCCUGAAUAGUUUAGCCCUUUUAGUUAGUGUCUUUGUUCAAGCUGCUCUCUGCUCACAUCUCCUGUUCCCUGAAUAACUUUCCCUUGUCUUUAAGACUGCACUCAAGGGGCGCCUGGGUGGCUCAGUCGGUUGAGCGUCUGACUUCGGCUCAGGUCACGAUCUCACGGUCUGUGGGUUCGAGCCCCGCGUCGGGCUCUGGGCUGACAGCUCAGAGCCUGGAGCCUGUUUCAGAUUCUGUGUCUCCCUGUUUCUCUGACCCUACCCUGUUCAUGCUCUCUCUCUGUCUCAAAAAUAAAUAAACUUGAAAACAACAACAACAACAACACUUUGCUCAAGUGUCAUCUGCCUAAAGAAACCUCAACCCCAGGUUGAGCUAAGACCUUAGCACCCAGGAAAUGUUGAGCUGAGCUGCUGGUACAAUCCAGACCAAGCAUUUUAACAACCAGGCAAUCACUAUGUAUCGGGAGUUUGUCUGAAUGGUAAAAUCUUACUUUUGGUUAGAAUAGUUUUGGCUCCGGGGUGCCUAAGUGGCUCAGUUGGUUGAGCUUCUGAUGUCGUCUCAGGUCAGAGUUUGUGAGUUUGGUUCAUGAGUUCAAGCCCCACAUCGGGCUGUCUGCUGUCAGCACAGAACCCACUUUAGAUCCUCUGUACCCCCCUCUCUCUGCCCCUCCCCUGCUUGCUCGCUCUCUCCCUCAAAAAUAAAUAAACAUUAAAAAGGAAAGGAAUCGUUUUGGCUCUGAUCUCAGUGGGCAGUGUGGCUGUUUUUAUCCUAUGUCCUUGUUUUCUUAUUCUGGUGAGAUAUGGAAUAAGAGGCUUCAACUUCUGACAAGGCAUGAAGGAAAGUUCUCAUCCAGUCCCUUCAGCUAUGCAUUUUGAAUUAGCAUUAGGCAUUCUAAGCCCUUCCAAAACGUUAGGGUUUCCACCGAAGAAAUUCUCCAGUAAAUCCUGAAUUCUCUGUCCUUUUUUUCGUUCUAGAAGGUUGUCGAAAGGAGACUUUCAUUAAAAAUGAAGUGCUGAAAUCUAAAUAUAGCUUUUAAGUUUCUUUUUUCAUCAGGGUUUUAUGUUUUGGUUUAUAAGCAGUGACGCAGAGUUGGUCUAAGGGCAGAGUGGCCCUCGAGCAGUCUCUCUGUGCUACAGAGCUGUGUGGAUGUUAUUUAGGUCUGAUGCAAACCACCAAAACAGGUUAAAAUAGGGUGCAGAGGAAACCUACUUCCUGGCUAGAGCAUGGCAUUAUUUAGCCAAUUUCCACAUAAAAGCAUAACUCCGCUCCCUUGUUACCUUCCGCUCUCUGGGUCCUCACUUACAGCUUUGGCCGAUUUAAGGCAUGAUUCUCAGGGGAAGUGACUUAGCAGAGAAGCAUUAGCAGUAAGAACACUCACCACGUGUUUUGUGCUACCUGUUUUCCGUGUCAUCUUGUGUCCCGUUCCCCCCCCCCCCCCCCCCCCCCCGCCGUACUGUUGCUUCUGACCUGGGCACCGAGAUCAUUCUCCUUCCUUGCCUGGCAUGUCAGGAGGGUUUAGAAGGCCGAGCGGGCACAUUAGCUCAUCUCAGGGAGAAGUGGGGAGAAGGGAAACCAGCAUUUGAAAAUCUGCUCGCAGCCAGCUGCUUGACAUGGCUGAUCUAAUUUAAUCUUCAGAAGAAGCCUGCUAUCUUUAUUUAUAAAUGGGGAAGAUGGAGUCUGCUCAAGGUCACUCGAGGUUGAAGUUCAGAUCUUGAGCUCAAGCAUUCUGACACCAAAACAUUGCUUUUACAUCAUCCCCUGAUAACAGCAACUGAAGAUGUUCUGAUACCUGGCUACUCAACGCGUGGUCCAGAAUCUGCAUUUUAACAAGAUCCCGGGGUGAUUCAUGUACAUACUUGAGAAGUCCUGCUCCAGUAGCAUUAAAGCAUUUUGCACAGAGGAGUCAAAGGAUCUACAGUGAUUUUGGGAGAUCAGAUCAGACUUGCUUCUGCCACUGAGGAGGAGAAGGAUUCCAGGGGAGUAGUAGCUCCUGGUUUUCGGAGGGUGUUUUGAGUCCUCCCUAGCUACAAGGCCCCCUUUAAACCGUAUGUAAGUAAUGCUCCGAGGCUAGCAGAGGCGAAUGCUCUGACAGCGCUUCAGGUCAAUUACUGAGUCAGUUUCACCCUGUUUACCCAAAGUGUCUUCCAUGGCUCUACCCUUGACCAGCAACCAAGAUCCUAGGGAUCCAUUUCUCUGCUGAACUCAUGGCAUUUAUCACGUUUACUCAUUAGGCUUUUAAUCACAGACUACCUUGACAUUUGUAGGCCUUAAUUAAGAGCUAUCAUACCUUGGCAUUUCUGAAAGUGGCUAGCACUGUGCUGUAUAUAAAGCAUGUCCCCAGUAAAGUAAUGAAUAAAUGCCCGGUUUUUCAGGACAUGGUUCUCCUCUUCAACAUUAAAAAAAAAAAUCUUUUGCCUUGAGAAACUUAUCUGGUUGAUGCUGAGUGAGAACUCACUAAAUUUUUCUUGAAUCCAUCAACAUUUAUUUUAGAUGUUCUAAGCACCACCGUGGGCUUUUUCUGUGAUUGGUGACUGUAUUUUAUUUACCAUAAGGCAGGUUUUUUUGCACCUUGGUUACUUUCAUCUUUAAGAAUUUUGGGUCACUAGCAGUUACAACAACAACCAAUUCUCAUACCUCUUCCUGAUCUUAUUUUUUUCAAAUAACUUUAUCUUCUGACUUUUUUCUUCUUCUUGACAAUUUAACUGUAUUUGGCAAAAACCAAAAUAAACAAAAAACUGAAAAAACUUUCCAUUGAAACUUGUAUCUCAUGUUGCUGCCUUUUAUAUCAAAUGUCAACUUAUUCAGCAGAAUAACUGUAAAUCUUAAUACCUCGAAUCUCUUAAGCAGAUGUUUAUUUACAACAGGAACCUAAUUACAUGAAAUGCAUAACCAUUUGCUUUCAUAUUUGCUCUUAAAUCAUGCUACCAUAAUGAAAAUCUGAACUCUUACCUUCUGCCGUCUGUAAGAAGCUCAGUGGUUUCUGCCCAUGGACACCCUCUGUCCCUUUUCUCUUUAAUAAAUAUACAUGGCCAUCAGUUAAAUCUUCUCCCCAGACUUCAUUUUGAACAGGUGACCCCUGCUAGAAAGCCUUCCAUGGAUCUUCUCUGUCGAUCUCGGGGAUGGAUUACAUGGCCCUUGCUUUCUGUUUGAGGUCAGGCGCUGCAUCAGUAUCCUUGGUUCCUAAGACUCACUGAUGGUUCUUCCUAAGACUCACAAGAUGGGUUUGAUGAUUGCAUGCGUGAAUGAGGCCAGUCCUCUCCCCCAUUUCCCCUUCUUCUCUCAAGCAUGCUAUGGGCCCUGGUUCCAUUCAGACUGGGUCUCCUCACACAUCCUUUUGCUUUUAGAUUUUCUAUGUUUGACUGUUCUGCUCCCCCACGUUUUCCCAUUCUCUACCCAUGUCCUACAACACCUCCACCAUGCUGAAAUAAUGCCUGACCAAAUGCCACUCCCUCUGUUGGGUUUUCAGUUUAUUAUCCCAUCAGAUCUCCUUUCUUUCUCCUCUUUGCAGCCUCUCUAACAGGCCUGGCUUCCACACUCAGGUGGCUUUGGUGGCCAAGCUACUCUUGGCUGUAUUAUGUGCCCCUUAUUAGAAUGAAAAUUCUUUGAGGGACAACCUUCUGUCUGAUUUUUCCUGGCACUCAGUGUGUAUUCUCACUGAAAAAGGUAGUUGCUGUUUAGAAUUUAUUACUUUUAAAGACCAGGGAAACUGCUUAUAAAUCCAAGAUGGGAUGGAGAUAGAUCUAUAUCUAUAAUAUUAACUAUAGAUAUUUUUUAUAUAAAUUUAAAUAUAUUUUUCUAGACUGUUGACCCUUUCACCACCAAGUGUGUCAUCAGUGGUCUUGUCAUUUAUUGCCACCUUGAGGGAACCUUGGGCUUGUGGGAAAUUUUAAACCAUCUGAUGCGUGUAAGUUGCUCUUUGCAGUGGAGGAUCCCCUGUCUUCGGUCUUUAGUUUCUGUGAACUUGGGGGAGCUGUAGUCUGUGGGUGUCAUAGCCUGUUGUUUUUCCGUCCGUCACCGACCGCCUUUGGUUCAUUUAUCCUCUUGUGUGUGAAUCUUUUGUAGAGGGCCCAACGUGUUGUGACUAUAGAAGCCAGAAAAAGUCAUAAAGGAAAUCAUAAUACCAUCAGACUCAGGACAGGUUUUUAUUUAUUUAUUUAUUUUUGCCACUCCUGCCUUUCAUUUUUAUGAAUGGUGGGUUAUCUCCUGCCAUUGGGAUAGUUGGGGAAGGGACAGUUGAAUGAAGGAGUCUUAGUGCAAUGGAGAGUGUCCGAAAACACCCUUCCACCUGCCCAAGGGAGGACAUCCCAUAUUGCAAAGAUGACUCCUGGCUGUACCUUCUGGAAAGGCUGUAGACAUGGCCCCUAGCUCUCUUCCAGCUGGAUUGUCACCCUUAGAUCCCCCUCCUCCAGGGAAAUUUUGGAGCUACCCAUGAGUUCAUAACAUUAGGCAUGGCUAGCAAUGCCCUUUCUGUUCUAUCUAGGGAGAAAGGGAGAUGAAAUAAGAAUUUUAUGUCUUAAUAUUCCGUCGCACUUACAGGAAAUGGUUUUAAUUUGAUGGAUGUUGGUUAGCUUUCAAAACUGCUGAAAACCUUUUAUCUUUCAAGAUUUUGACGAUGAAAUUGGUGAGGAUGUUUGUGGCAAUUAUAUAAUCGGUUAUGCAGCACUGUGCAAAGCAUUUUGUCAAACUCAGAGCGUCUCCUGUUACCAGUUUAUUAAUGAAAUACUUAUCUUCAGGGCCAAGGAAGGAAUCUAGUUUCCUACUAGUUUCAUAUUUACUUGUUGGAUAACUGUUGGAGCUACAGUUAACUCUGUUCGGAGCUCACUGGCUUUGUUACUUCUCAAGGUAUAACUCCUCUUAAAAGCAAUUGACUAAAUGUUAGAUGCCUCUGUUAGUCAUCUUCUGCUAAUCAAAACAGCUUUCUUCUUCUCUCUCUCUUUUCAUAGAGAGUUCUGUAAUUCAUCUUUAAGUUCUGGGAAGGGAAUCUUCACCGUGAGCUCUGAUACAAAGUACUGUUUUGAUUACAAUCAGUACUUUAAUAAAACGUAUGUGAAAGUGAGUUACGGUGAGCAUUUGAUAAUGUAUAUAAUUGUCAAAUCACUGUGUUGUACACCUGAAACUAAUACAAUAUUGUAUGUUGAGUAUACGUCAGUUAAUAAUAAUAAUAAUAAUAAUAAUAAUAAUAAAGGAGUAUUUAGAGGGAGCCCCUGAAUGUCUGAUUGAUCUUGUGUCCCUGAUCUUAAAUCUACUUCCCUUGUUACACAAAGUGACCAUAGAGGCCACCCUGGCACUCGUGCUCUCUGAAUUGAAGUGUCUUUGAAGUUAGGGGAAAAUGAAGGGAUCAGAGUGAGCAGCUGAUGAUUGUGCUGGUUGAAAGCCACUCGUGUGACCUUUAUCAGCAGUGACCAGGGCUGCGGUAGAACGUCCUGCUUGUGGUGAACAUUUCUGCCCACAGCCCUCCCUGGUGCAUAUCUCUUGGGAACACGGAAAAUGUCUUUUGUUGUUCAAAUAGCUGUUAAAUGAAGAUGAAAAGCACAACAAACAUCGUAAAAAUAGUCAUUUGCCAGCUUGUCCAGGCAGAUAAAAAACCUAGUGUCAGGAAAACAGAAAAGAGCAGUGAUUUGAAUAACUUUAUGAGUUCUGAGACUUACGGGGGAAAGAGUACCAGUGGGGAAAAGAGUCUAGUCUGAUAACUUUGAAGAAAACAUAUUGACCAUGUCUGGUUAUAAUGAUUUUCAAAUAAUCCCUUAUGUUAAUAGAGUGCUUUAUUAUCUGUAAAAGAGUUUCACCUGGAUAUCAUAUUUCAUUUUGGAAACGACCCUCUGAGUGGGUGUAAUUACCCUGUUUUACCAAUAAUAUGGAAAUGGAAGCCCAGAAAGAUGAAACCAUCUAAGGCCUUGUAAAGCAUCACAAGUGUGUGUUUUUGUCAUUUUACCAUCUUUUAGUCAUCGUACCCCUGGCUGCUUAAUUUCUAAGAAAAUGUGAGACAAACGCUAUGGUCCUAUCAUAUUUUUAUCUUUCAGUAGCCAAAUUGAGGAAGACGGGAUCGUAGGAUUGACAUCAGAAGCCUUGUUCUUUGCCUCAAAAAUUGGAAACCAUAUUUGGGACCGGCGAAUACCCUCCUUCAAGAUACACUUCUUUGAGGGUUUUGUCACCCGUCUUCCUAGAGCUGAAGCUAUAUAAUGAGUUAUUUUUCUUGUUCUCCUUUUCUUGUAGGGCAGUUUUUCUCUUAAACACCAUGCGGUCUGCCUUCCCGAGGGUUAUAUCACCAUUGCCAGUAGGCACAUGUCGCCAUUUAUAAAAGACUAUGGCUUUGCCACAGUCUUGUAGUUGUGCUCGUCUUCAGAGUUUCGGGAUGCUUCCCAUAAUCACACAGGAAGGGUGUGUCUUCACCAUAUAGACAUAGAGGUCAAGUAUUGUCCUUGGCUUCCUUUCCCAGAACUUCUUAGAGAUGAAUGUCUGAGUAAAGAUACGGAGAAGAACAAGAUUGUUUUGACUGGCAGAACACAAGAAACACAGGCAUCCAGUAUUCUGGAUACCCUAAAUUACUUUUGUACCCUAAAACCAAGAGCACACUGUAUACACUGUAUGUGAGCCAACUUGACAAUAAACUAUUUAAAUAAAUAAAUACAUAAAUAAAAGGAAAAAAUAAAUUACUUUUGUAUACAGUAGCUUCUAUCUUGAGGAGUAGCAAAGCCGACUUAUUUGACUGACAUUUUCAAAGGAUAUGGUAAAGAAUGACCUUGAUUGGCAGAAACUGCACUCAGCUUGCAAGCUACACAAAGCUAAUGGACACUCCUGCUUGCCUGCAAUUUGUUCUAGAAAUGUCAUUUCCCCCACAACAUAAAAAGAGAAGUUGAGUCAUGAUGUUGUUUUACUUAAUUUUGGUUAAGGAAACAAAUCAAAUCAGCUCCCACACUAUAGUAUGGACUUCUUUCUCUUCUUUUCUACCAUUCUUCUUUUUUUUUUUUUUUUUUUUUUUCCAGUGGACUUGAGACUAAGGAUUAUUCUGAUCUUUCCAUCUCUGGGAAAAUUUCCUAGAAAAGAUGAUCUUCCUUAAGUAAUGACUGGGUUCAUGAAUUUAUAUUAGAAUCAGAUCUUCUUCAAAUUAGAAUGGAUUUCAGUGUUACUUUUCAUGUACUUCUUGUUUAAAAGGGAUUUCAUGGUAAAUCUUCUAGAAUACUACCUAUUAUAUAAUCCUUUUAAAAAUGGUAAUUUGUGCAUACCGAUUCCUGUUAAGGCAGAUGUAACUGUAUUUAGAAGAAUAUUCAAAUUUUGAACAUUUCAGAGGCGAUCCUUCUUCAGAUCUGGUGAGAUAGUACUCAGUAUAUAUCUGUUAAAUGGAAUAAGAAAGAAAAUAUACCACAGAGACAAGGAAGAGAAGUUAAGCUGUAGGACUAUAUUGACUUAAAACUUAUUUUUUUGUGUGUUCUAUCUGUUUAGCUUUGUGAUUAUCUGAAGGAAAAACUUGUCCACAACCACGAACUCUGAUCUAGGAGCUAUUUAUCUUAUUAACUCCUUUGGUAGUGCAUCUGAAAGGAGAUAACACUUUCCUAUGUUGGACUUUUUGAAGUCAUUAUUCAUUUUGCCUUGUGGAGUCAAAGCCCUUUAGAAAUUCAGCUUUCUCAGGAAACCUGCCCCUUAGGUCUUCAAAGAGAUCUCCCUUCAAACUCAUGCUCUUGGUGAUUGACCAGGGAUUUCCACCCUUGAAAAACAUAGGAAUAUGUAAAAUCCCUACUAAAAAAUUAACCUAAAAUGACCUUCCAGGGGUGCCUGGCUCAGUUGGCUCGGAUGACUCAGUUGAUUGAGGGUCUGACUCUUGAUUUUGGCUCAGAUCACAAUCUCACGGUUUGUGAGUUUAAGCCCAGCGUGGGGCUCUGUGCUGACAGUGUGGAGCCUGCUUACAAUUCCCUCUCUCCCCCCUCCCCUGCUCGUGCUCUCUCUCUCUCUCUCUCUCUCAAAACAAAUAAAUAAACAUUAAAAAAAGAAAAACAAAAAAUAAAUAAAAAUGACCUUCCAAGCGAGAAUUUGUACAACAGCAACCAAAUGCCUUGGGACCGAUUAUGUUUACGAUCCCUGCCCUAUCCCAAAACAUUACUGGAGUUUGAGUCACAUAAGAAAAUCACUUGGGUUGGGUUUGACCCAACCCGUGUGCGUUGAUAAAAAUGUUCUGUUAAUAAUGCAGUUUGCGACUUUCCCCGCAGCCAGGCCAAGUUGAGAGGCAUGGUUUGCAGGCAGGCCCUCCUCUCUCGCGGACUGCCUUGCUCCCUAUCUCUGACCCCUGAGCUUGUUCCUGUUUAGCUCUUCACUCCAUACACAAUAAAUCCUUUCCUGAGCUGUAUUUACUUUUUUUACUUCCGGCUGCACAUUAGAAUCAUAUGGGGAGCUUUUAAAAUAAUCCCAGUGCCUGAGCCAAACGCCUGAAGUUCUGAUGCAUUCGCCCUGGUGGAGGGCCCGAGCAUCGAUAAUUGUUUUAAAAGAUCCCCCCAUGAUUCUGUUGUGGAACCCAGGUUGAGACAGACUGAUUUCUACAAAUGGAGAAUUUGCACAGAGAAGUCGAGGCGUUCACUUAAUGUCCCGCAACAAAGUAGUACCAUUUAUGACUCCUGACUCUAAAUCCAGUAUUAACAAAUAAGGGCAAGGCUUUGUUGGAGAAUGAGGGGAGAAUCAAAAUCCCUUUACUUCUGGAAAUUCAUCGGCAGAGUGGGGUUAAACACACACCCAUCUAAAAGCCUGUCUCACGGUACAGGUGGUUAAAAACCAAGGCCGAAGGAAUCGGAGUGCUGGGCCCUCCUCAGUGGUUGUAUUUGUGCACCUGCUUCAAGGGAACCAAGGGAAGCUGGGGGCAUGCCUGCUUGCAGUAUAUACCCAGCAACCACACCCAGGACUCUUCCGGUUCUCCCGAGCGACUCCACCCUCCAGAGCGGACAGUCGGCACACUCACUGAGCUGGGCCUCUCCUUGGGGAAGGUGUCAGAUGCCAGGUGUCCUUGGAGAGGCCAUUCUCUGAGUUCCUUUCCAGCUGCUGGGAGAGGCGCUGCCCUCUCUCUGAGGCCUGGGCAGACCACGUUGGGGAUGGUAGAUCUUAUGCGGAGGUGGACACGCUGGGGGUGGAGAAGGAAGAAAGGGUGAACAUAUCAUAGGGGUUCUGAUAAGACGUCGUUCAGCAGAAGGAUACUCAGAUCAUCGGGGCCUUAAAUGCCAGGCCAUGUAGUUGGGCUUAAUUCUCCGAGUCACUGGCAGAUUGUAAGCAGGGACGUAAUCGAACCAUCCCCAGGCCAGACGUUUGUGAUGGGAAGGCUGUGAAUGCCUUUCUUCUCUUUUCCUCUGAUGCCUCUGCAGCUAGCAGAGGGCAGCGGAACCCAUCCCAACCUGCCUGUGCACCUGGUCAGCACCUGCACCCUUCUGGAUUCUGAUCCCACAUCAGGGUUAGGGUGUCAUCACCGGCACUUAAUGGUUUUUUAAAAAAAAAAAGAACAGUUCUUUCGUUGGACCUCAGAAGAUAUAGGUGGAAGCUCUUAAGCAUCGCAGAACCUCGACUGUCUCCACCUUAUCUUUAGGUUCUGUGCUGAUCUCGCUCCAUACAAAGUAGUCUGCCGACUCUUCUGGAAUGAGGUAUGAACAAACCAAACAGGGGCACAAAUUCAUUAAUUGCAAGGGGGCACUUUCUUUUGCCAGACCUCACUUAUAGAUGCUUUCCUGACGUGUUCACACCCCAAGUAUCUCAAACAUAUGCCUCAUACUUUUAGAAAUCUGAAGAAUUUAGAGUUUCAGUUGGGUAGAGCCUCAAUGGAAUACUUUUAUUAUAUCUAAUGCCAUUUUAAUGGGCUUGAGACUAGGGAGGUUGGAUUGAUUGGACAACGUAUAUAAACCACUGCAAGGAAUUUACUAGAGUGGAGAACGAUGCCAAUAGCUCAGAAAUGUGGUAUUUAGGGAGCUUUUUACUUCAUAAUCACCAUGACAACAUUGGGACAAAUUGUAUAGCCCUCUUAGAGAGCAAGCACUUGUUUGCUGGAACUUUCUGCGGUGGUGACAAUGUCUAAUGUCUGUGCUCGCCACUGUGCUAACCAUUAGCCACCUGUGCCUUCAAGUGUGGCCAGUGCAGCUAAGGAAUUGGGUUUUAAAUAUUAUUUUAUCUCAGUUACACUUAAAUGUAAAUGACCGCCUGUGGCUAUUGGCUUCCAUCAUGGACAGAACAGUUAUAGAAUAUCCUUAAAAUCCUCAUUCCCUUCAAGUCCUCUGAUGAAGCACAAUCAGAUAAUUUCUUAGCACCUAUAAUCAUAGGCAGAUUACAUUAUUUAUACCUUUCCAGUCCUGUACUUUGGAAUUGUAGGCUGUUUCUGUCUUGGAUAUAUGAUAUUCUAAUGUUUACGAAAAUACUCUUUAGUGUAGUACGCUUUAAUUAUAAUACUUUGUUCUAGGAGGAUCCAGCCGGGGCCUCUUUUAUCAUCUGUGUUUUUAGUUUUAAUCUUAAAAGGGCUAUAAAAAUAGUAUUAUUUUGUGGGAGAAAAAAAUAUGCUUAACGUCAAUGCCUGUGGAGCGGUAGGGAUUAUGAAACAUUCAAACUCCUCCUGGAAAUACUGGAUAAAGAGAAGUUAAAGAGGCAGGUAGAAAUCUCCAAGGAGAAAACUUGCCCUGGAGGAAUGCUUUUAAUUAGAUUUAGCUUCCAUCAGAAGAGUCUAGCAAGGUGGCUUUCCCUGAGGGCAUUGGGAUUUUCCCCUGUGAAUAAAUUCUCUCUGCCAUCGGUCACCUCUCUGCUACGUUCUUCUAGAAACUCAGCCUUACUUGGCAUGCCGUGACUUAAACCCUCCAAAAAACCUUGGAAAAGAAGCCAGUAUUUUUUCUAAAAUGUUAAUUUCCUUGCUUUAGGCUUAUGUAGGCUUUGACUGGAAACUCAAUCUGUGCGCCUCGGCUCUGCAUUAUGUUUCAGUCAUUGAAAUGGGGCUUAAUAAGAAUUACUUGAUACCUUAGGAGUCAGAUGAGCCUCACUUUUUUUUUUUUUUUUAAAUAGUCUUUUAUCUUAGGCACAGGGAUUUGCAUUUUGAGAGGUCGUGCCAGCUGACUUGAGCCUCUACAGGUUUCAGCUUGUUGCAAACCUAGUUUGGUCCAUUUUUCUCACUUCUGGGACCUUCUGUUGCUGCCACUCAUGGCUUAUGGGUUUACUGAGGAGAUCUAGUCCCUGUCCCUAAUUGUCUCCUGUCCCUACCUCAGCAGUAAUACUACAGAUAGCCAAUCAUUUCAUAUAUAACACGUCCCUUAAGAAGUCGGGAUGGAAUGUUGGGGCACCUGGGUAGCUCCAUUGGUUAAGCAUCCGACUCCUAUUUCCACUCAGGUCACGAUCUCACAGUUAGUGAGUUCGAGCCCCGCAUUGGGCUCUGCACUGAUAAAGCAGAGCCUGCUUGGGAUUCUCUCUCUCCCUCUCCCGUGUGUUCUCUCUCUCUCUCCCUCUCUCUCUCUC
This is a long non-coding RNA of Neofelis nebulosa (Clouded leopard), 15094 nucleotides long. RefSeq lists it as uncharacterized. NCBI's taxonomy places the organism in Eukaryota, Metazoa, Chordata, Mammalia, Carnivora, Felidae. The record is from RefSeq and is a predicted model, not a curated record. The transcript has 2 exons.